GACAGAGUAAUGUAGUGGUUUGAGCACUGGACUAGAACUCUGGAGACCAGGGUUCAAAUUCCUGUUUUGACA
Molecule: non-coding RNA, 72 nt
Organism: Phrynosoma platyrhinos (Desert horned lizard)
Lineage: Eukaryota; Metazoa; Chordata; Lepidosauria; Squamata; Phrynosomatidae
Source: the annotation of a GenBank genome assembly